RNAcentral lists this transfer RNA (72 nucleotides) under Crassvirales sp. RNAcentral's name for it is "tRNA-Trp". It matches the Rfam family "tRNA". From Rfam's summary of the family: Transfer RNA (tRNA) molecules are approximately 80 nucleotides in length. Their secondary structure includes four short double-helical elements and three loops (D, anti-codon, and T loops). Further hydrogen bonds mediate the characteristic L-shaped molecular structure. tRNAs have two regions of fundamental functional importance: the anti-codon, which is responsible for specific mRNA codon recognition, and the 3' end, to which the tRNAs corresponding amino acid is attached (by aminoacyl-tRNA synthetases). tRNAs cope with the degeneracy of the genetic code in two manners: having more than one tRNA (with a specific anti-codon) for a particular amino acid; and 'wobble' base-pairing, i.e. permitting non-standard base-pairing at the 3rd anti-codon position. RNAcentral also lists the same sequence under 2 other names. The record is from RNAcentral. Lineage: Duplodnaviria; Heunggongvirae; Uroviricota; Caudoviricetes; Crassvirales.
AGGUUCUUAGUUUAAUUGGCAAAACACUUCUCUCCAAAAGAAGAGUUAUGGGUUCGAUUCCUUUAGAAUCUG